Sebastes umbrosus (honeycomb rockfish) is the source of this 466-nucleotide long non-coding RNA. RefSeq lists it as uncharacterized. Lineage: Eukaryota; Metazoa; Chordata; Actinopteri; Perciformes; Sebastidae. The transcript is spliced from 3 exons. The record is from RefSeq and is a predicted model, not a curated record.
CUCCUCUUCCUCCUCCUCCUCUUCCUCCUCCUUUUCCUCCUCCUUCACGUCGGGCUGAGCUUCGUCCGUCUUCUUGUACUCUGCUGCCGGCGUCGCUGGGGUCUUCUUCUGCAGGACAAAAACAGGACACAUGAUGUAAUAGUGGUGUUGUCGGCGGUUUCUGACGACGUUUCACAACAACAGACAGAAACUAAACUACAGCACCACAGAACCAGAACCGGCACCGGCAGCACACAGAACCAACACAGGAAGCUACUCUAACAGCGUCAGUCACCGGGCCUGAGGAGGCGGUGGCAGGUCCGUUUGGGCGUCCGGCUUCCUUUAACUCUUCCUGUAAGCUGGUAUACAGAUCUGUCUAUCCAGCUGACAGUACAGCGUGUGUCAGCGUGUGUAUGCGUGUGUGUGUGGGUGUGUGCGUGCGUGCGUGCGUUACCUUGCCGGUGCAACAGAAGACGAUGAUGAGGAC